Molecule: long non-coding RNA, 961 nt
Filed under: Scleropages formosus (Asian bonytongue)
Lineage: Eukaryota; Metazoa; Chordata; Actinopteri; Osteoglossiformes; Osteoglossidae
Description: lncRNA (ENSSFOG00015031671.1)
Source: RNAcentral
GUGAGGUAGGGAAGGAAUAGAAUAAGAUUCCUGUCAUGUAGACUGCUUCUCCGACAUGGACUGCACUGAGGACAUAUCAGCAGGCAAAUAUUCCCAAAGAAGUCUGAGCACCGUCCCACAGGAGACAUGGUGCUCACCACUAGGGGGAGAAAAGGCACUGGCUGCCGUGUCUGUCUGCUGAAAGGAGACUGAAAUUCUACAGCGAGGGAUGGAAACAAUGGCACAAUGUCGUAGUGGAAAGUUACAGGUUCGAGGGAGGUUAGUGCCCCCUGUGGACAGAGAGCACCAGUACACCAACAAGCCGAGCUGGACUUUGGUUGAUGGAGGCCCUUGAGCUCUUUCUCGUCUUGCUUCUCAUCUUCUUGGUUUAGAGGGAAAAACUGGACGAAGGUUGGAAAAGAAGAAUGCAUAAACUCUCAUCCUUCUGGCAAUGGUACCUAAACAGCUUAAGAGGUCUUAUAGCCCUGUCAGAUCAAAGGAACGACAGCUUGUUUAGGAGACCUUGGAUGCCGUGUUUUAUGGCUUCAAGAAGAUAAGGGAGAGUGGAGGUAUAUGAGAAUGGAGGAGAGACUGCAGCUGGGUGGCCGUUUACGACGAAUAACAUCUGGUGAGAAAGAUCCUGUAACUGUCAUCAGUUCCAACAAUCUGAUGGAGGAAACACGCUGAUGAUGUAAACCCCCGGUUAGAUGUCGCGAGGAAUCGGUAAGGUGAGGAUGGUGCACUGGUAGGACGCACCACGCAGGUGUUUGGCCUUUUUAUUUCCUACUUUGUAUAUGUGAAUAUGUGAUAUUUAUUCAGCCAGUGCUGAGAAUGAAGAAUCAAAUUCACAAUGUACUACUAGUCUGAACCUGGCAUUUAAAGGUGUCCAGAGCAGCCCUGAUGUCCCGGACUGAGCUCUGAAUUACAUUUUCCCAGUGUGCAAAAUUUAAAACAGAAAAAACAAGGGACCCCUUCAUGCCUC